AUCACUUGUCUUUUAAAUAAAGACCCGUAUGAACGGCACAACGAGGGCUCAACUGUCUCCUCUCCCCCGUCAACGAAAUUGAUCCCCCCGUGCAGAAGCGGGAAUACCCCCAUAAGACGAGAAGACCCCAUGAAGCUUCAGACACUAAACAACCCCCACUAACGGCCCUCCCCCAUCAGGAAAAUAACACCCCUUCCCGCUUGUCUUCGGUUGGGGCGACCCCGGGGAAAAGCCCCCUCGCGGACCGAGGGCACUGCCCUUACAGCUAAGACCCCCGGCUCCAGGCAACAGAAUUUCUGGCCCAAACGAUCCGGCACACGCCGAUCCACGAACCAAGUUACCCUGGGGAUAACAGCGCAAUC
RNAcentral lists this ribosomal RNA (362 nucleotides) under Sigmops bathyphilus (spark anglemouth). RNAcentral describes it as "partial 16S ribosomal RNA". It matches the Rfam family "Bacterial large subunit ribosomal RNA", at positions 1964 to 2487 of the family's 2925-position model. The record is from RNAcentral. Lineage: Eukaryota; Metazoa; Chordata; Actinopteri; Stomiiformes; Gonostomatidae.